This 497-nucleotide ribosomal RNA is filed under the name uncultured bacterium. RNAcentral describes it as "partial 16S ribosomal RNA". It matches the Rfam family "Bacterial small subunit ribosomal RNA", at positions 28 to 507 of the family's 1533-position model. The record is from RNAcentral.
GAUGAACGCUGGCGGCGUGCCUAAUACAUGCAAGUCGAGCGAACAGACGAGGAGCUUGCUCCUCUGUCGUUAGCGGCGGACGGGUGAGUAACACGUGGAUAACCUACCUAUCAGACUGGGAUAACUUCGGGAAACCGGCGCUAAUACCGGAUAAUCUAUUGAUCCACAUGGUUCAAUAGUGAAAGACGGUGUUGCUGUCACUUAUCGAUGGAUCCGCGCCGCAUUAGCUAGUUGGUAAGGUCACGGCUUACCACGGCAACGAUGCGUAGCCGACCGGAGAGGGGGAUCGGCCACAUGGGAGCGGAGACACGGUCCAGACUACUGAGGGAGGCACCAGAAGGGAAUCGUCCGCAGUGGGCGAGAGCCUGACGGAGCGACGGGGAGUGAGUGAUGGAGAUCCCGGGUGCGUAAAACUCUGUUAUUAGGGAAGAACAGAUUUGGAAGGUACUAAGCACGGCUUGACGGUACCGAGUCAGAAAGCCACGGCUAACUACGUG